This 542-nucleotide ribosomal RNA is filed under the name Ascomycota sp. Its description in RNAcentral is "SSU rRNA". It matches the Rfam family "Eukaryotic small subunit ribosomal RNA", at positions 550 to 1098 of the family's 1831-position model. Lineage: Eukaryota; Fungi; Ascomycota. The record is from RNAcentral.
GGAGGGCAAGUCUGGUGCCAGCAGCCGCGGUAAUUCCAGCUCCAAUAGCGUAUAUUAAAGUUGUUGUGGUUAAAAAGCUCGUAGUUGAACCUUGGGCCUGGCUGGCCGGUCCGCCUCACCGCGUGUACUGGUCCGGCCGGGCCUUUCCCUCUGUGGAACCCCAUGCCCUUCACUGGGUGUGGCGGGGAAACAGGACUUUUACUUUGAAAAAACUAGAGUGCUCCAGGCAGGCCUAUGCUCGAAUACAUUAGCAUGGAAUAAUAGAAUAGGACGUGUGGUUCUAUUUUGUUGGUUUCUAGGACCGCCGUAAUGAUUAAUUGGGACAGUCGGGGGCAUCAGUAUUCAAUUGUCAGAGGUGAAAUUCUUGGAUUUAUUGAAGACUAACUACUGCGAAAGCAUUUGCCAAGGAUGUUUUCAUUAAUCAGGAACGAAAGUUAGGGGAUCGAAGACGAUCAGAUACCGUCGUAGUCUUAACCAUAAACUAUGCCGACUAGGGAUCGGACGAUGUUAUUUUUUGACUCGUUCGGCGCCUUACGGGAAAC